CGGACGGGUGAGUAACGCGUGAGGGAAGAAGGCUCUUGGGUCGUAAACCUCUUUUGUCAGGGAAGAACACAAUGACGGUACCUGACGAAUCAGCCUCGGCUAACUCCGUGCCAGCAGCCGCGGUAAUACGGAGGAUGCAAGCGUUAUCCGGAAUCAUUGGGCGUAAAGCGUCCGCAGGUGGCUAAUCAAGUCUGCCGUCAAAGACCGUAGCUCAACUACGGAAAGGCGGUGGAAACUGAUAAGCUAGAGUGCAGUAGGGGUAGAGGGAAUUCCCAGUGUAGCGGUGAAAUGCGUAGAGCUCGGGAAGAACAUCGGUGGCGAAAGCGCUCUGCUGGACUGCAACUGACACUCAUGGACAAAAGCUAGGGGAGCGAAUGGGAUUAGAUACCCCAGUAGUC
Molecule: ribosomal RNA, 398 nt
Filed under: uncultured bacterium
Lineage: Bacteria
Description: bacterial SSU rRNA
Rfam family: Bacterial small subunit ribosomal RNA
Source: RNAcentral